Molecule: ribosomal RNA, 406 nt
Filed under: uncultured bacterium
Lineage: Bacteria
Description: partial 16S ribosomal RNA
Rfam family: Bacterial small subunit ribosomal RNA
Source: RNAcentral
AUUGAACGCUGGCGGCAGGCUUAACACAUGCAAGUCGAGCGAGCGGCGGACGGGUGAGUAAUGUCUGGGAAACUGCCUGAUGGAGGGGGAUAACUACUGGAAACGGUAGCUAAUACCGCAUACCAUCAGAUGUGCCCAGAUGGGAUUAGCUAGUAGGGGGGUUAAUGGCUCACCUAGGCGACGAUCCCUAGCUGGUCUGAGAGGCUGACCGUCCACACUGGAACGUGUGCAUGGUCCAGACUCCUACGGGAGGAAGCAGUGGGGAAUAGUGGACAAUGGGCGCAAGCCUGAUGCAGCCAUGCCGCGUGUGUGAAGAAGGCCUUCGGGUUUUAAAGCACUUUCAGCGAGGAGGCGUUACUCGCAGAAGAAGCACCGGCUAACUCCGGGCCAGCAGCCGCGGUAAUAC